CAAUAGCGUAUAUUAAAGUUGUUGCGGUAAAAAAGCUCGUAGUUGGAUUUCUACCGAAGAUAGCCGGUCGGGUCUUCGACCUUGUAUCUGGUUUUGUCUUUGGUAUCCUCAUAGGGAACGUUUCUGCGCUUUAUUGCGUGGUGCGGUAUCUAUGACUUUUACUUUGAGGAAAUUAGAGUUUUCACGGCAGGCAAACGCCUUGAAUAUAUUAGCAUGGAAUAAUAACAUAGGAUCUUCGUCCUAUUUUGUUGGUUUCUAGGGCUAAGAUAAUGAUUAAUAGGGAUAAUUGGGGGCAUCUGUAUCAACGCGUCAGAGGUGGAAUUCUUGGAUUGCGUUGCGACAAACUACUGCGAAAGCAUUUGCCAAGGAUGUUUUCAUUGA
This 381-nucleotide ribosomal RNA is filed under the name uncultured eukaryote. RNAcentral's name for it is "partial 18S ribosomal RNA". It matches the Rfam family "Eukaryotic small subunit ribosomal RNA", at positions 592 to 976 of the family's 1831-position model. The record is from RNAcentral.